CGUGUAGGCUGCUCGGAAAGUCGGAUGUUAAAGCCCUGGGCUCAACCUAGGAAGUGCAUUCGAAACUUCCGAGCUGGAGUGCUGGAGAGGAAGGCGGAAUUCUCGGUGUAGAGGUGAAAUUCGUAGAUAUCGAGAGGAACACCGGUGGCGAAGGCGGCCUUCUGGACAGCUACUGACGCUGAGACGCGAAAGCGUGGGGAGCAAACA
This 207-nucleotide ribosomal RNA is filed under the name uncultured delta proteobacterium. Its description in RNAcentral is "partial 16S ribosomal RNA". It matches the Rfam family "Bacterial small subunit ribosomal RNA", at positions 568 to 774 of the family's 1533-position model. The record is from RNAcentral. Lineage: Bacteria; Deltaproteobacteria.